UACGUAGGGGUCGAGCGUUGUCCGGAGUUACUGGGCGUAAAGCGUGCGCAGGUGGCUCAUUGCGCCCGGCGUGAAAGCCCCCGGCUCAACCGGGGAGGGUCGUCGGGGACGGGUGAGCUUGAGGGUAUCAGGGGCUGGUGGAACUCCCGGAGUAGUGGUGAAAUGCGUAGAGAUCGGGAAGAACACCCGUGGCGAAGGCGGCCAGCUGGGAUACACCUGACACUGAGGCACGAAGGCGUGGGGAGCGAACGGG
This 253-nucleotide ribosomal RNA is filed under the name uncultured bacterium. RNAcentral describes it as "partial 16S ribosomal RNA". It matches the Rfam family "Bacterial small subunit ribosomal RNA", at positions 524 to 776 of the family's 1533-position model. The record is from RNAcentral.